GCUCGUAGUUGGAUUUGUGAUGGAAUUUGAAUACUUUUAAAGUGUUUCAGAAACUGUCAUCUGUGGGUGGAAUUUGUUUGGCAUUAGGUUGUCAGGCAGAGGAUGCCUAUCCUUUACUGUGAAAAAAUCAGUGCGUUCAAAGCAGACUUACGUCGAUGAAUGUAUUAGCAUGGAAUAAUAAGAUAGGACCUUUGUACUAUUUUGUUGGUUUGUGUAUAGAGGUAAUGAUUAAAAGGAACAGUUGGGGGUAUUUGUAUUCCAUUGUCAGAGGUGAAAUUCUUGGAGUUUUGGAAGACAAACUACUGCGAAAGCAUUUACC
This 319-nucleotide ribosomal RNA is filed under the name Didymosphenia hullii. RNAcentral describes it as "SSU rRNA". It matches the Rfam family "Eukaryotic small subunit ribosomal RNA", at positions 626 to 959 of the family's 1831-position model. Lineage: Eukaryota; Bacillariophyta; Bacillariophyceae; Cymbellales; Cymbellaceae. The record is from RNAcentral.